Molecule: long non-coding RNA, 582 nt
Organism: Gossypium arboreum
Lineage: Eukaryota; Viridiplantae; Streptophyta; Magnoliopsida; Malvales; Malvaceae
Exons: 2
Source: RefSeq, a predicted model, not a curated record
AAUGCUAUUCUUUUUAUUACUUAAAAUUGAAACCUGCUUUAAAAAUCUUUUUUUUUUUUGCUUUAAAGAAGACAUUUCAACUUUUUCCUUAAAAAAAAAAACAUUUCAAAGUUUUAAGACUCUUCUAUUUCAUUUUCUCCUCUUUUCCUCUUCUUCGACAGACCAAAGAGAAACGGCUCCACCAGCAUUUUGAGCCAAACUUCGACAUCAAAGGUUUCUCUUGCGCCGCGUCGACCAUUGAAGCCAUUGUGGAUAGUGGUGAAAGCUGAAGCAACGAUCAAGGCUAUUGAAGUUGCAAAAGAUAUGAGAUUUAAAAUUCUAUUGUGAUCCAAUGAAAUGCUAUUGGAGUUGUUAAACAACUGAGUUCAAAGUCAUGUGAAAAUUCAUAGAAGAUGCAACUAUAUUGUUGCCAUCAAAUUUGAGGAGAGUUGCUGAAGAAGACAACAUAUAUCACUUUUUGUUGCUCAUAAUAUUUGGUAUUAGAGGUGUAUUGUUUCACUUCUGUACUAAAGCUUGUAUUGGCCUUUCCGGUUUGUAUCACCACUUAUGGCAAUAAAUACAAUGUUUUUUUUUUUUUCUAAA